CAUAUAUGUAUAUCAAUUUCUUAAUCAAUCACAUGUAGACAUACCUGAUAUUCUAAGAGGUUAGACACCAUCACCUACCAAGGACAAAAACUAAUAUACUUAUGAUGUAACUAUAUAUAUGCACACGAUAGCUUUUAAAUCAAUUCAAGAGACUAUAAUGUGUAACUUUAAGUCUUUAACAUAUGGAAGGUGAAGAUGCAUAACUUUUUCUCAUGAAGAUGUCAGACAAAGAAAUCAUAGAGUUUUUGCCAUGAGAUAGAUAAAUUAAAAUUUUGUUAAAACAUAGAAGCUAGACUUCAAUGUAAAUUUACAUAUUCAAUAUGGUGGUGAUAAUUAGCUUUUGGGUUAACUUUAUAUAGAGCUUGUGUUUGAUAAUUAGCUAAAUUUACAUAUUCAAUAUUAGUGUCUCCAAGAAUUCUUUGUUUUCAAUUGCAUUAAU
Molecule: long non-coding RNA, 439 nt
Filed under: Trifolium pratense (red clover)
Lineage: Eukaryota; Viridiplantae; Streptophyta; Magnoliopsida; Fabales; Fabaceae
Description: long non-coding RNA (TPRA_LNC006062)
Source: RNAcentral